Oryzias latipes (Japanese medaka) is the source of this 3904-nucleotide non-coding RNA. The record is from RefSeq and is a predicted model, not a curated record. Lineage: Eukaryota; Metazoa; Chordata; Actinopteri; Beloniformes; Adrianichthyidae.
CACCAAUAAUGUUAGGUUGGAGGUGUAGGGGGCUGUAAGCUUGCGGGAAAGAGUGUAAACAGAGGGGGAAAUUAUGGCACAAACAGUCAACUUAGGGGUGAUUUUCUACUGAACUGCUGCUCUGCAGAAACGAAAACUUUUUUUUUUGUGGCUAAAAACGGCAUAAUAUUAAUGAAAAGACCACUUGGAACACUUUUAAAAUAGACCAAAAAAUGAUCAGAGUGGGACUUGAAUUGCUCUCUUCUCCUGUUGGGUCCUCUCUUGCUCUUUUUACCCAGCCUACCUUACCGCAGCUGUUAAUACCCUGUCUGUAGGCACCGUACUUCUUCCUCCCCUCUCCUCAACCCCCCAUCCUCCUCUCUUUCCCCUUUGCAGAUAAAAUUCAAGGGGACUGCAGUCGGAGCCUUCUCAUUCCAACCCUCUCUCCACGUUAUGCAACCACCCUCAUUAUCCUUCCAUGCGUUAAAAACAAAAGUCAGCAGCCCAAAAGGAAAGCCCUUCUUCUGGCUGCAGCAGGUGCCCUGAAACGCCUUUUCCCACCGCCUCAAUAUUUCAGGAGCUUUUUGGAGUUGCACAAUCCAUCUGCAGUGGAAUCUUCCUGAAGGCUGCGACUUCUUGGGCUGCUUUUGAAGCACUGGGAUCCUAACCUUUCCUGUUCGUCCUCAUAGGUUGCAUGUGCCUCCUCAGAAUGAUGUUGCAAGAAUACAGCACUUCCUCCCUUCAUCCCUCUGCCUACUCUGAAUUCAGGUCACUUUUUCUUGCAUAACAGCUCAUUCAUAAAACAGCACCACACCUCGGGGAGCAAUGUAGAAGAACCUGUAAACUUAUAUAAAAUAUAUUGAUAGAGAGGCUUUUUUCUUGCUUGAUGAUGCAUUGAUUCUGUGCAGUGUGCAACUAAUGCAGAAACCUUUAAACAAGUGAGGAGUUUGUCAAGUCUUGUUGAGUUCAGUGAGUGAAUAUUCCCUGUUCAGGCCUGAAGAUUACAAUAUGAUGACUUAACAGUUUCUUGGUCUUUGGACUCGCAUAUGAGGAAAAAUCCUAUAGGAAUGUAUGGAUGGGAUAAAUUGAUUUUGGUCAGGUGUCAAAGGUUACUGUGUUCACAUCAAUGCUCAAAAAUCCUCCAAAAAGAAAUUUAUAUUUGUGAAGAAAAGGCCAUUUGCAAAUGAACAUUUUAAGCUGAAUGCUCUUUCCUACCAAAUCAAUUUCUAAGAAAUACAUCUGUCUUUGUGCCUACAUGGACAUUAGUCAUGGUGUAGCAACGGUGUUGCUUUUUUACAGCAAAAAUCUGUCAAGCGUACACUUGCUGCUUCCAUGAAGCCGAAGAUGUUGCCAAUUCUCCGGAAAACGCUCUAUCAUCAACACACUGGAAAACUCAAAGAGUUUCUGAGAAAAGAUUCAAGUUCCCCAAGUCAUGGACUGAACGCACCCUCACCAUUUAUGAGAUACGAACCAUCUGACAACAGCAGGAAUUUUUUCUCUAAUUUGUGGCGCUUUAAAAGGAAGUGAAUCUUGAAUUUACCCGACAGAAGAGAACAUGUUUACAGUCUUUCUGUUCGUAUUUGCUGUGCUCGUCCAUAGAAAACUUGUGCUUGUGAAUUAUUUUAAAUUAAAAAAAAUAAAAAAGGGACUUUUCUUCAUGACUAUUGUGUGUGCAUACUAUUAUUUCUAAAAAAAGUGAAUAAAAUUUUUAAAAAAGUAAGAUCUCCAGCGCAUUUAUGAAAUGGUGGUGGUAGGAUCAUAAUCAGUUCCAGUUUUGUUUCUUGAUUGUAAUAACUUUCCCAUAGAUUUUUUUUUGCUAGAUGAGACAAGGGAUUCUAAUUGAAAAGAAAAUCUUCCUGCUGACAACAGCAUGAAUGUUUGUAUCCAAUCUGUGCUGCUUUAAAAGGAAGUGAAUCUUUAUCCAACAGCAGAGAACAUGUUUACCGUCUUUCUGUUUAAAUUCGCUGUGGUCGUUCAUAGAGAACUUGGACUCCUAUCAUGUGUGCAUAAAAUUACUCCUAGAGAAGUGGAUAAAAUAAAAUAAAAAUAUGUGUAAGACCCAUCAACAUUUUCCUGUUUGUGACAUGGAGGCGGUAGGAUCAUAAUUAGUUGCAGUUUUGUUCCAUGAUGAUAGUAAAAAAAAAAAAAAAAAACAUUCCUGUAGAUUUUUUUUCUGGAUGAAACAGGGAAUUCUGAUUGAAGAGAAAAUCUUUCUGCUGACCACAGCAGGGAUGAUUCAUAUAAUUUGUGCCACUUUAAAAGGAAGUGAAUCUUUACCCAACAGCAGAGUACAUGUUUUCAGUCUUUCUGUUUAUAUUUGUCAUCCACGGAGUGUUUCUUUUUUAAAAUUGUCUUUCCCCUAUUGCAUCAUAAAUUACCUCGAGAAAAGUGAAUAAUUUUGUUUUUUUAAAGUGAUACCUUAAAACACAUUUUUAUUUUUCUAUUUGAAACAUGGGGGUGGUAGGAUCAUAAUUAGCUGCAAUUUUGUUCCUUAAUGAUAGUAAAAACUUCCCUGUAGGUCUUUUUCUUGACUAAACAGUGAAUUCUGAAUGGAAUGUUGCCAUCAGAAAAUCUGUCCGCAGAUUGACUCAAGAGUAGAUAAGAAGAGAUAAUCUUCAUCGGCAUGGCACAAAGCCCUAAGCUUUAUACUAGCAUGUUUUGGUUAGCCUCCUCACAGUCUGAUGCCUACAUUAAAGACGUUAAGUUACAGUUGACGACCAGGCUGAGUUCAUAUUAUGGAAUAAUGAUUGCACCGGGAUUUACAUGGUUGUUUUUAUCUCGUUUGGGGAGUUCAAGGGAAAAGAUAAUGCAAGGUUAUGAACGUAAUUAGUAGGUAGAAAGGUUGGGGGUAAGAAGUCGAAAAAUACUUUACUCAGACUGAAAACAGAACUAGGUCUGUCACAUCCCUGAAGACUACAAUGGUAGAGUUUAUUUAUCCAAAGCUCUGUUUGCCUGUGUGUGUGUGUGAAUGUGUAUGUGAAAAUUUGUUUUUAAUCUGAUAAUAAUAGGAAUGUUCAAGAAUAAAAUGCUAUUAAACGUUUUUUCAAACAUGUUUUUAUUCAAUUAAACCUUUUGGCCUAUUUGUACUGUUGCAUGUCUUUAAUUUGAUUGUGAAAUUGGUUUUGUUGUUGCUCAGUUGUUUCCUUUUCUCCUUUCACAGCUUGUGUUUUUUGCACAUUUCAGAAGAGCUGACUCAUCACAUACAGUAAGAUGGAAACCAAACUUCCACCAAAUUGUCCCAAAAACUAGCUUUGCUCAAUCAACUGCAACCAAUGACAGGGAUUGAGGAGGAGAGACCGGGAGUUUGAGCCCAACCUCCUCCAGUGUUAUUUUUUAAGACUAAAGCAAAAGCAUACUCAGUCUGAAACUGAUGAUUUUCCCACACUGGAUCACACAAACAUCUUCUGGCUUUGUUUAAGCUCCCUUCCCAUGAUUAUAGAGUGUCAGUGCUUUUGAUCCGACUGAAGCAGAGACACAUCAGUUUGUCACAAGCACUGGACAAGAUGUUGCGUUGUUCAGAUUAAUGUCACCAGUAAAACAUUAAAUACAUUCUUUGUAAAAAGACUUUGCCUCUUUUAAUGUAUGUUCAGAACUCCUUUUUAUGUUUUAUCAGUCGGUUGUUUUAGAUGCCCUGUCUCAUGCGUUGGUGUGUUGGGGGGGUGCGCGAACAAAAAGGACAUAAAAAAACUGAAUUGCCUGAUUCGCCUGUGUGGUGGUGCGAAACCUGGAGACGGUGGAGGGGGUGGCAGAGCGGAGGAUGCUGUCCAAACUGGACAGCAUAUUAGAGAACACAGAUCAUCCCCUACACGGACUCUUCGUUGACCAAAGGAGCGCAUUCAGCGACCGGCUUCUAUGUUUUCUAUGCAACUGUAAUUGUCACUUUAAAAAGUUAUAAUAAAUAAACAAAUGAGUUAUUUAACAUUAA